This 347-nucleotide unclassified non-coding RNA is filed under the name soil metagenome. RNAcentral describes it as "partial contains 5.8S ribosomal RNA, internal transcribed spacer 2, and large subunit ribosomal RNA". The stretch from base 1 to 119 matches the Rfam family "5.8S ribosomal RNA", at positions 35 to 154 of the family's 154-position model. The record is from RNAcentral.
GAUGAAGAACGUAGCGAAAUGCGAUAAGUAAUGCGAAUUGCAGAAUCCGUGAGUCAUCGAAUCUUUGAACGCACAUUGCGCCCUCUGGUAUUCCGGAGGGCAUGCCUGUUCGAGCGUCAUUAUCACCCCUCAAGCCCGGCUUGUUGUUGGAUGCAGCACUUAUCCCGCUCCUCCCAAAGAUAAUGACGGCGUCUGCGACGACUCCUGUACACUGAGCUUUCGGGCACGUACACGGCUAGAAGUCCAGACCCGGUCGCCGUCCCCCCCGCGGACACCCAUUACCACAAGGUUGACCUCGGAUCAGGUAGGAAUACCCGCUGAACUUAAGCAUAUCAAUAAGCGGAGGA